This 74-nucleotide transfer RNA is filed under the name Dichanthelium oligosanthes. It matches the Rfam family "tRNA". Rfam says of the family: Transfer RNA (tRNA) molecules are approximately 80 nucleotides in length. Their secondary structure includes four short double-helical elements and three loops (D, anti-codon, and T loops). Lineage: Eukaryota; Viridiplantae; Streptophyta; Magnoliopsida; Poales; Poaceae. The record is from Rfam by way of RNAcentral.
GGGGAUGUAGCUCAAUUGAUAGAGCACUACUCAAAUGCAUGAUAGAGAUACGGGUUCAGUUCCUCACAUCUCCA